Acanthosepion pharaonis is the source of this 114-nucleotide non-coding RNA. NCBI's taxonomy places the organism in Eukaryota, Metazoa, Mollusca, Cephalopoda, Sepiida, Sepiidae. The record is from the annotation of a GenBank genome assembly.
UUACGGCCAUAUCACAUUGAAAUACCGGUUUCUAUAUGAUCACCGAAGUUAAGCAAUGUCGUGAUUAGUCAGUACCUAGAUGAGUGACUGCUUGGGAAUACCAGGUGCUGUAAG